This is a long non-coding RNA of Papaver somniferum (opium poppy), 1195 nucleotides long. RefSeq lists it as uncharacterized. The transcript has 4 exons. NCBI's taxonomy places the organism in Eukaryota, Viridiplantae, Streptophyta, Magnoliopsida, Ranunculales, Papaveraceae. The record is from RefSeq and is a predicted model, not a curated record.
UCGUAAAACCAGAGAAGAGAGAGUGGAUAUGAAGUACAGAAAAGAUAGAGAUGAGAAUGAUGAAAAAUCAGUUUUCUUAAUGAAGAUGAAAACAUUGUUGAUGAAAAUGAGCUUUCUCAUGCUGAUGAAAAUACCGAUUCAGAUCGCGAUGAGGGAAUCCAUUCUCAACUUAUGUUAUUCAAAUUGGGUUUUGCUAAUUUUUGAAAGAAUUCUAAUCAUAUGCAGGUAACCACAACAAGUUUAUGAUCACUGUCGUGUGCCUGACUUGAAGCUAAGGGAUGUUAGAAUCCUCUGCAUGGAUGGAUCAAAAGUUACAAUAAUCACGUGAUCAAAUUCACCAUUGCAAUGACUAAAAGAUGCAAGAUAGAUGCCUUCCCUUGAUUAGUAGUUCUUCAAGCCCUUAUGUUGGCUCCUUGGAAAUUUUUGGGUAACCUGAAGGUAACCAGAUCAAACUCCACCUCUCCAUAUAAAGCUUUGAACGCCAAUGAAAAUUUAUUAUUAUUGAUUUUUUUACGUGUUCUGUGAGCCUUUUGUUUACUUGUUUUGUGCGAGCGAAUAUUUAGAAGAGUCUCGAUGUGGUAGAGAACAUAAAUGUGUUAAAAUGGUUCUAAAGAUGCUCCAAGAAAGGGUCUGAAGCUGAAUCUAAGCCAUGUCUGACCGUCCGCAGCUUCCUUAUCAAACUCCGGGUGCUAGUCUACCGAGAUCCCCUCCGCGCAGAGAGUCUCAAAUGGAUCCACGUGGUAUCAGAGUUUCUUCUUCAGGGGCGAAGGCCUCUCCUCCUAGGAAAGAUGGUCCCUCAAAAAAUCAUUCUGGGUCUCGAAACGCUGCCGACUGUGCGGUUUCUCGUCCUCGUGAUGACGUUAGGUGUGCGCAGACACCUCCUCGUGUUGUUGCCUUUGAUGUUCCUCCUCUGCGUUCAGUAGUGCCUGUGCAGCACCCUCUACCGCCGCCUCCAGUACUUCCUCUCAAAGGGAAGAACACCAAAGGUUGUGUCCCGAGGACUGAAUCGUCUAAGAAUCCCUCUUUAAAAAGACGAGCUUCCGAGGCUUUUGUUGGUUCGUCCGACCCCGCGGAACAGAAUGAGGUUGCCCCGGUGAUACGCAGUGUUUCGGUCAGCAAGAAGAAAGUGAUGUUCAAGCAUAUUGACCUUGAAGUUUUCAAGGAAAAGCAUGAGCUUCAAGCCUUCGAGGUUCGU